AGAGUUUGAUCAUGGCUCAGGACGAACGCUGGCGGCGUGCUUAACACAUGCAAGUCGAGCGGUAAGGCCCUUUUGGGGGUACACGAGCGGCGAACGGGUGAGUAACACGUGGGUGACCUGCCCCUUACUCUGGGAUAAGCCUGGGAAACUGGGUCUAAUACCGGAUAGGACUUCAUGCUGCAUGGUGUGGGGUUGAAAGUUUUUUCGGUGGGGGAUGGGCCCGCGGCCUAUCAGCUUGUUGGUGGGGUGAUGGCCUACCAAGGCUUCGACGGGUAGCCGGCCUGAGAGGGCGUCCGGCCACACUGGGACUGAGACACGGCCCAGACUCCUACGGGAGGCAGCAGUGGGGAAUAUUGCGCAAUGGGCGGAAGCCUGACGCAGCGACGCCGCGUGGGGGAUGACGGCCUUCGGGUUGUAAACCUCUUUCGGCCUCGACGAAGCCUUCGGGUGACGGUAGGGGUGGAAGAAGCACCGGCCAACUACGUGCCAGCAGCCGCGGUA
Molecule: ribosomal RNA, 501 nt
Filed under: uncultured Actinomycetes bacterium
Lineage: Bacteria; Bacillati; Actinomycetota; Actinomycetes
Description: bacterial SSU rRNA
Rfam family: Bacterial small subunit ribosomal RNA
Source: RNAcentral